This 497-nucleotide ribosomal RNA is filed under the name uncultured bacterium. RNAcentral describes it as "partial 16S ribosomal RNA". It matches the Rfam family "Bacterial small subunit ribosomal RNA", at positions 28 to 507 of the family's 1533-position model. The record is from RNAcentral.
GAUGAACGCUGGCGGCGUGCCUAAUACAUGCAAGUCGAGCGAACAGACGAGGAGCUUGCUCCUUUGACGUUAGCGGCGGACGGGCGAGUAACACGUGGGUAACCUACCUAUAAGACUGGGAUAACUUCGGGAAACCGGAGCUAAUACCGGAUAAUAUUUCGAACCGCAUGGUUCGAUAGUGAAAGAUGGCUUUGCUAUCACUUAUAGAUGGACCUGGGACGUAUUAGCUAGUUGGUAAGGUAACGGCUUACCAAGGCAACGAUACGUAGCCGACCUGAGAGGGUGAUCGGCCACACGGGAACUGAGACACGGUCCAGACUCCUACGGGAGGCAGCAGUGGGGAAUCUUCCGCAAUGGGCGAAAGCCUGACGGAGCAACGCCGCGUGAGUGAUGAAGGUCUUCGGAUCGUAAAACUCUGUUAUUAGGGAAGAACAAACGUGUAAGUAACUGUGCACGUCUUGACGGUACCUAAUCAGAAAGCAACGGCUAACUACGUG